RNAcentral lists this ribosomal RNA (371 nucleotides) under uncultured organism. RNAcentral's name for it is "partial 16S ribosomal RNA". It matches the Rfam family "Bacterial small subunit ribosomal RNA", at positions 527 to 896 of the family's 1533-position model. The record is from RNAcentral.
GUAGGGUCCAAGCGUUAAUCGGAAUUACUGGGCGUAAAGCGUGCGCAGGCGGUUGUGCAAGACCGAUGUGAAAUCCCCGGGCUUAACCUGGGAAUUGCAUUGGUGACUGCACGGCUAGAGUGUGUCAGAGGGGGGUAGAAUUCCACGUGUAGCAGUGAAAUGCGUAGAGAUGUGGAGGAAUACCGAUGGCGAAGGCAGCCCCCUGGGAUAACACUGACGCUCAUGCACGAAAGCGUGGGGGGGAGCAAACAGGAUUAGAUACCCUGGUAGUCCACGCCCUAAACGAUGUCAACUAGUUGUUGGGGAUUCAUUUCCUUAGUAACGUAGCUAACGCGUGAAGUUGACCGCCUGGGGAUACGGUCGCAAGAUUA